AACUUUCAGCAAUGGAUCACUUGGUUCUGGCAUCGAUGAAGAACGCAGCGAAAUGCGAUAAGUAACGUGAAUUGCAGAAUUCAGUGAAUCAUCGAAUCAUUGAACGCACAUUGCGCCCUCUGGUAUUCCGGGGGGCAUGCCUGUUCGAGCGUCAUUACAACCCUCAAGCUCAGCUUGGUAUUGGGCCUCGCCGGUUCCGGCGGGCCUCAAAGUCAGUGGCGGUGACAUCCGGCUUCAAGCGUAGUAACACUCUCGCUUCUGGAGACCCGGGUGCGUGCUUGCCAGCAACCCCAACUUUCUCAAGGUUGACCUCGGAUCAGGUAGGGAUACCCGCUGAACUUAAGCAUAUCAAUAAGCGGCGGCU
This 364-nucleotide unclassified non-coding RNA is filed under the name uncultured Leotiomycetes. Its description in RNAcentral is "sequence contains ITS2". The stretch from base 1 to 154 matches the Rfam family "5.8S ribosomal RNA". The record is from RNAcentral. Lineage: Eukaryota; Fungi; Ascomycota; Leotiomycetes.